UACGUAGGGGGCAAGCGUUGUCCGGAAUUACUGGGCGUAAAGCGCCUGUAGGCGGGAACGUGCGUCAGACGUGAAAGGCGGGGGCUCAACCCCCGAGCGGCGUUCGAAACGGCGUUUCUUGAGGGUCGAAGAGGAGCGUGGAAUUCCCGGUGUAGCGGUGAAAUGCGUAGAGAUCGGGAGGAACACCCAUGGCGAAGGCAGCGCUCUGGUCGGCAUCUGACGCUGAGAAGCGAAAGCAUGGGGAGCGAACAGG
This 253-nucleotide ribosomal RNA is filed under the name uncultured bacterium. RNAcentral's name for it is "partial 16S ribosomal RNA". It matches the Rfam family "Bacterial small subunit ribosomal RNA", at positions 524 to 776 of the family's 1533-position model. The record is from RNAcentral.